RNAcentral lists this transfer RNA (73 nucleotides) under Pseudofabraea citricarpa. Its description in RNAcentral is "tRNA-Met". It matches the Rfam family "tRNA". Rfam says of the family: Transfer RNA (tRNA) molecules are approximately 80 nucleotides in length. Their secondary structure includes four short double-helical elements and three loops (D, anti-codon, and T loops). Lineage: Eukaryota; Fungi; Ascomycota; Leotiomycetes; Helotiales; Dermateaceae. The record is from RNAcentral.
GCCAGGAUAGUUCAAAUGGUUAGAACAUUAAUUUCAUGCGUUAAGAAUGGGAAUUCGAAUUUCCCUCCCGGCU